Molecule: ribosomal RNA, 468 nt
Filed under: uncultured bacterium
Lineage: Bacteria
Description: partial 16S ribosomal RNA
Rfam family: Bacterial small subunit ribosomal RNA
Source: RNAcentral
GAUGAACGCUGGCGGCGUGCUUAACACAUGCAAGUCGAACGGUGAAGGCGGAGCUUGCUCUGCUGGAUCAGUGGCGAACGGGUGAGUAACACGUGAGCAAUCUGCCCCUGACUCUGGGAUAAGCGCUGGAAACGGCGUCUAAUACUGGAUACGAGCUGCGAAGGCAUCUUCAGCAGCUGGAAAGAAUUUCGGUCAGGGAUGAGCUCGCGGCCUAUCAGCUUGUUGGUGAGGUAAUGGCUCACCAAGGCGUCGACGGGUAGCCGGCCUGAGAGGGUGACCGGCCACACUGGGACUGAGACACGGCCCAGACUCCUACGGGAGGCAGCAGUGGGGAAUAUUGCACAAUGGGCGAAAGCCUGAUGCAGCAACGCCGCGUGAGGGACGACGGCCUUCGGGUUGUAAACCUCUUUUAGCAGGGAAGAAGCGAAAGUGACGGUACCUGCAGAAAAAGCGCCGGCUAACCACGUG